CUCAAAACGACAGAUCUUUGAGA
This 23-nucleotide small nuclear RNA is filed under the name Arabidopsis thaliana (thale cress). RNAcentral's name for it is "snRNA_01090". Lineage: Eukaryota; Viridiplantae; Streptophyta; Magnoliopsida; Brassicales; Brassicaceae. The record is from RNAcentral.